CCUACGGGAGGCAGCAGUGAGGAAUAUUGGUCAAUGGCCGCAGGGCUGAACCAGCCAAGUCGCGUGAGGGAUGACGGUCCUAUGGAUUGUAAACCUCUUUUGUCAGGGAGCAAAGGGCGCCACGUGUGGCGCUUUGCGAGUACCUGAAGCAAACGCAUCGGCUAACUCAGUGCCAGCAGCCGCGGUACUACGGAGGAUGCGAGCGUUAUCCGGAUUUAUUGGGUUUAAAGGGUGCGCAGGCGGAAUGUCAAGUCAGCGGUAAAAUUUCGGGGCUCAACCCCGUCGUGCCGUUGAAACUGGCGUGCUUGAGGGAGCGAGAAGGAGGAGGAAUGCGGGGUGUAGCGGUGAAAUGCAUAGAGAUCACGCAGAACUCCGAUGGCGAAGGCAGCAUACCGGCGCUCAACUGACGCUCAUGCACGAAAGCGUGGGUAUCGAACAGGAUUAGAUACCCCAGUAGUC
RNAcentral lists this ribosomal RNA (459 nucleotides) under uncultured bacterium. RNAcentral's name for it is "partial 16S ribosomal RNA". It matches the Rfam family "Bacterial small subunit ribosomal RNA", at positions 338 to 795 of the family's 1533-position model. The record is from RNAcentral.